UCGACUUAGAAAGACAAUUAUAUCCUUUUUGAUUUUAUUUUUACUUUUCUUUUUGUUAUUUAUUAUUUUUUAUGAUAAAAGAUAAUGUGAAAUUGGGCCCACCACACCCCUUAUCUCUUCAAAUUCUUCUUUUUUUACCGAAUUCUUCGUUACCCUCUUGCCCUACUGGAACCCUUUGGCCGCCUUCUCACACACCCAUUUCUUUUAAUACAUCACCAAAUGCCUGAAACACACACUUCAUCCAUCGAUUUGCUCAUUCGUUCUAAACACACACUUCCCGCAUAGAUUUCCUUGAAGGUAAUGGGAUAAGCGAUGAACAGUAAUCCUCGUCCACAUUGCAGCGAUGUUGACAAGUGGGUUGUGGUGAUGGAAGCCUGCCGACGAUAGAAGAGAGAAAAGAGAAAGAUGCAUCUUCGGUUUGAUUCAAUGGAUUCUUCAAAGACAAAAUAGAGAGAGGCAAAAUACGGUGAAGGGUACGAUAAAAAUUCAUAUUACAGUGGAAGAUAUAUUUAGGUUUUGAGAUCGAUUUAAGAUUUGCAAAAAUCAAGAAAAAAUUUCAGGCUCAACAUUAGUUUAUUUUUUUCUCGCUCUAUCUCUUGUUUUACCGGAGAAUGGCAUGAGAUCCACCGCCAUUCUGCCGAAGUCCACCACCACCGCCACUCCACCACCCACCACACUCCUCACCUUAAACCUCAAUCUGCCCUUUUUCACCGUCUGAUUCCACCCAUGAUAUCCAAUCUAAAUGCACCAUCUUCGACUCCAUAUGUUAUGGGUAAACCACUUUAAUUGCUCUGGUUUGUUCCUUCCAGAAAAUCUCAAAAAUUGCAACCCCAAUUUAAGUUUUCGUUUGGGAUACACAUAAGAGAUCAGACAAGUAAGCGAGGGGGUAGGAUUUGAGAUUGGAGAAGAUGAACCAAGAGAAGAUUGAUGGGUUGCUUUGAUAUUUGAUUCUGAUUUUGGGUAUUAUUGUUAGAAGACUGUAUUUGUGUUUUUGUUAGUAGACUGCAUUUAAUCGAUUAUAUAUGGGUUCUUUUUGUAAUUAGAUCCAUCAAGUUUAUGUUUACUUGUUCA
This is a non-coding RNA of Lactuca sativa (garden lettuce), 1071 nucleotides long. Lineage: Eukaryota; Viridiplantae; Streptophyta; Magnoliopsida; Asterales; Asteraceae. The record is from RefSeq and is a predicted model, not a curated record.